UUACACCCAGACGGUCACUGUGUAUGGAGUCCACGCGCUCUAGCUUCAUGCAGGAUUAGGGACUUGCUGAAAAAAAACCAAACCCUUGACAGGAAACGUUUCAACCAGCAUGACAACACCUGACUCUUUCAGGUCCUGAAAACACAUUCAAACCUGUGUCUCUCAGCGGUCUGUCUCCUGGAGCAGCAGUCAGUCUGUACAGACGGAGCAGAGAGAGAGAGAGAGAGAGAGAGAGAGAGAGAGAGACCGGCCAGGAGAAGGGCGCCCACUUCCUGCUGUUAAAAGAAGGUUACCAGACCCUGAACGUCUCCUGCACAGCAUGAUGGGUCUCUGUGUGUGUGUGUGUGUGUGUCAGACAGAGUGCAUUUUGUGUGUAUUUCUGUUUCUCUUUAAUCCCUUCCCAGCAUGCAGCAGUGAGUGGCAGCUGGUGAUUUUGAGCAACAACUGCUCCGACCUGAGGAAGCCGACUGUGCAGCGGCUACAGAGCCCCCCUCCUCCCCCAUUUUUAUGAGAACCCUAGAUCUGAGUCACAACUUUACAGUGGCUCAAUAUUGUGUCAUCCAUCACUCUGCAUACAGCUACAGGCGGCUCCAGCCUCAGUGGACGGGAAACAAGAUUUACAAGUGAAGAUGACGUUCUGUCUGUGGGCUGGGGGAGGCGGGGGAGGCAGUUAGAGAGGCCGUCAGACAGAAAUGAAAAGUGGAGUGUGGCCGAUGGAGAAAGACGUUCAGAAAAAGCCAAAGAUUUGGUGAUUUGUUGAUUAUCCCCCCAGAACUCAAAUCCAGACGCGAGCCGCGUUAGGUAGCCUCUUCUCCUACAGCCCCUGAAUGCAGCACUCGGCGCACCUGCCGCCUCCUAUUAGCUAAUCAGAACCAAACAAAGUUUGUUUACACCAAACGAGGUCUGAAGAUCGUCUGUUAAACGUCGUUUGGAAGAGUUCGCCAUGAUAUCGAUCGUAAUGAUUGACAGCAGAUAUCAACGCGUUGUGGAUUAGUGAACGGGAAGAUCGACGUUACUGAUCCGAGAUCGUUUUGUCUACGAACGAAUUGAAAUAGGACGCUGUAUUCGGAUCCGAUUCGUGAUCCGUCAUAUUGUUUAUGCGCGUAAAACAACAGGGAAAAGAAGCGUCAGGAUUAAAGCUGUAUCGCAAAUAAGGACCUUUAAAAAUACAUUUGAAAACAACAACAACUCUAUGGAGAAGACAACUAUGGGACCGAAGAGGCUGUCUGCAGUACCCCUGAUGUCCACGAAGUACCGCUGAUGUCCACGGAGUACCGCUGAUGUCCACGGAGUACCCCUGAUGUCCACAGUGUACCCCUGAGGACGCCUGGAGUUGACAAUGAAGAACGUCAAGAAAAGACAACUUCUAAAGGUAAGAACUUUUAUUACGUUAUUGGCGAAUUGAGUUGUCUGAGCCCGGUCUGCCGUGACUGUGGGGCCAGAGCAGUUGUGUGAGUGUCACGGUCAGUGCACUGAAAUGUUGACGUAGGUGAAGUGGUCUACGUCAUGUGUUGUGUGAUGGCAAUGUUGUGUUUUCUGUCAGGUACAUUACUAAAUAUCGGUUCUUCUUCCUGCUCGGUGCACUGGUUUAGAGUGAUUUCAUUCGUUGUGUAAUUGUCUCUUCUAUGUAUGAUCAAAAAUAUCAAUCAAAUCAAUCAAAAAUAACAACAAAUUGAAGAAAAAUGUAAAAUUUUAUGUAAAGAUUUUUUUCUUUUUUCCUAAAUUUUAGGCAUAAAAAUCACUAAAUUACAUAUUUUUAGUCAAACUAUUGCGUUGCAAU
This is a long non-coding RNA of Cynoglossus semilaevis (tongue sole), 1780 nucleotides long. RefSeq lists it as uncharacterized. The transcript has 3 exons. The record is from RefSeq and is a predicted model, not a curated record. Lineage: Eukaryota; Metazoa; Chordata; Actinopteri; Pleuronectiformes; Cynoglossidae.